UACAGAGGGUGCAAGCGUUAAUCGGAUUGACUGGGCGUAAAGGGCGCGUAGGCGGUUAUUUAAGUUGGUUGUGAAAGCCCUAGGCUUAACCUAGGAGUUGCAAUCAAGACUGGAUAGCUAGAGUACGGUAGAGGGGAGUGGAAUUUCCGGAGUAGCGGUGAAAUGCGUAGAUAUCGGAAGGAACACCAGUGGCGAAGGCGGCUCCCUGGGCCUGUAACUGACGCUGAGGCGCGAAAGCGUGGGGAGCAAACAGG
Molecule: ribosomal RNA, 254 nt
Filed under: uncultured bacterium
Lineage: Bacteria
Description: partial 16S ribosomal RNA
Rfam family: Bacterial small subunit ribosomal RNA
Source: RNAcentral